CAAUUGUGCUAAAGGUGAUUGUUUGUAGAUUCGCAAUUACAAUCCCCCUUACACAAUUUCU
Molecule: microRNA precursor, 61 nt
Filed under: Eisenia fetida (common brandling worm)
Lineage: Eukaryota; Metazoa; Annelida; Clitellata; Crassiclitellata; Lumbricidae
Description: Efe-Novel-1_pre stem-loop
Source: RNAcentral